UUCGCCCUUUUCCGGUUGAUCCUGCCGGAAGUUACUGCUAUCGGUGUUCGACUAAGCCAUGCGAGUCAAAUGUUCUUCGUGAACAUGGCGGACUGCUCAGUAACACGUGGAUAACCUGCCCUUAGGUUCGGCAUAACUCCGGGAAACUGGAGAUAAUUCCGAAUAGGUCAAAUAUGCUGGAAUGCUUUUUGGCCAAAAGACUUCGGUUGCCUAAGGAUGGAUCUGCGGUCUAUCAGGUUGUAGUGGGUGUAACGUACCUACUAGCCUACGACGGAUAUGGGUUGUGAGAGCAAGAGCCCAGAGAUGGAUUCUGAGACAUGAAUCCAGGCCCUACGGGGCGCAGCAGGCGCGAAAACUUUACAAUGCGGGAAACCGCGAUAAGGGGACACCGAGUGCCAGCAUUUAUGUUGGCUGUCCACAUGUGUAAACGGCAUGUGUUAGCAAGGGCCGGGCAAGACCGGUGCCAGCCGCCGCGGUAACACCGGCGGCCCGAGUGGUAAUCACUUUUAUUGGGUCUAAAGGGUCCGUAGCCGGUUUGAUCAGUUCUUCGGGAAAUCUGACAGCUCAACUGUUAGGCUUCCGGGGAAUACUGUCAGACUUGGGACCGGGAGAGGUAAGAGGUACUACAGGGGUAGGAGUGAAAUCUUGUAAUCCCUGUGGGACCACCAGUGGCGAAGGCGUCUUACCAGAACGGGUCCGACGGUGAGGGACGAAAG
This 716-nucleotide ribosomal RNA is filed under the name uncultured archaeon. RNAcentral's name for it is "bacterial SSU rRNA". It matches the Rfam family "Archaeal small subunit ribosomal RNA", at positions 1 to 710 of the family's 1478-position model. The record is from RNAcentral.